GAGCGGGGAAAGUAGCUUGCUACUUAACUUAGCGGCGGACGGGUGAGUAAUACUUAGGAAUCUGCCUAUUAGUGGGGGACAACAUUUCGAAAGGAAUGCUAAUACCGCAUACGUCCUACGGGAGAAAGCAGGGGAUCACUUGUGACCUUGCGCUAAUAGAUGAGCCUAAGUCGGAUAGCUAGUUGGUGGGGUAAAGGCCUACCAAGGCGACGAUCUGUAGCGGGUCUGAGAGGACGAUCCGCCACACUGGGACUGAGACACGGCCCAGACUCCUACGGGAGGCAGCAGUGGGGAAUAUUGGACAAUGGGGGGAACCCUGAUCCAGCCAUGCCGCGUGUGUGAAGAAGGCCUUUUGGUUGUAAAGCACUUUAAGCGAGGAGGAGGCUACUCUAGUUAAUACCUAGGGAUAGUGGACGUUACUCGCAGAAUAAGCACCGGCUAACUCUGUGCCAGCAGCCGCGGUAAUACAGAGGGUGCGAGCGUUAAUCGGAUUUACUGGGCGUAAAGCGUGCGUAGGUGGCCAAUUAAGUCAAAUGUGAAAUCCCCGAGCUUAACUUGGGAAUUGCAUUCGAUACUGGUUGGCUAGAGUAUGGGAGAGGAUGGUAGAAUUCCAGGUGUAGCGGUGAAAUGCGUAGAGAUCUGGAGGAAUACCGAUGGCGAAGGCAGCCAUCUGGCCUAAUACUGACACUGAGGUACGAAAGCAUGGGGAGCAAACAGGAUUAGAUACCCUGGU
This 733-nucleotide ribosomal RNA is filed under the name uncultured Acinetobacter sp. Its description in RNAcentral is "bacterial SSU rRNA". It matches the Rfam family "Bacterial small subunit ribosomal RNA", at positions 64 to 791 of the family's 1533-position model. The record is from RNAcentral. Lineage: Bacteria; Pseudomonadati; Pseudomonadota; Gammaproteobacteria; Moraxellales; Moraxellaceae.